UCACAUAUAUUGGGACAGAAAAAAUAACACAUAUCAUUUUAAAAUUACCAAAAAAGUAUUAUAAAUAAUAAUAAUUAACAACUUAAAAUAUCUGAAAGACAUUUUAAAAGGGUUAAUUUUGUAAUUUUAUCCAUAUCACAUAAAUUAGGACAAAGUGACCAGUAAUGUACGUUAUUUGAAAGUUACAUAAAAAUAUUAUAAAUCACAAUACUUAAUAACUUAAAACAUUUUAAAAAAAUAUAUGAAAAUUUGGAUGACUCUCCAAAUUUCAUUUGUGUCACAUAAAUUGAGACAACAAAAAUAACAUAUAUUGGGUCCAUUUUAAUUUAUUUGUCUUAUUUUUUAUUUUUAUUUUUUUAUAUUUAAAAAUUGCGUAAAAAUACUAUAAAUCAUAAUAAUUGACAACAUAAAAUAUGUUUAAGAAAAAUACAAAAAAUUCCACUGAUUCUUGAAGUGAAUCUAUCGUAAAAAUACUAUAAAUCAUGAUAAUUGACAACAUAAAAUAUUUCAAAAAUGUUGUAUGUGAGUAGUCUUAUUAUGCCUUAAAUGGCGUC
RNAcentral lists this long non-coding RNA (554 nucleotides) under Solanum tuberosum (potato). RNAcentral's name for it is "long non-coding RNA (STUB_LNC009443)". The record is from RNAcentral. Lineage: Eukaryota; Viridiplantae; Streptophyta; Magnoliopsida; Solanales; Solanaceae.